CAAGUCGAACGGCAGCACGAGAGCUUGCUCUUGGUGGCGAGUGGCGAACGGGUGAGUAAUAUAUCGGAACGUAUCCAAUAAUGGGGGAUAACUAAUCGAAAGGUUAGCUAAUACCGCAUACGCCCUACGGGGGAAAGCAGGGGAUCUUCGGACCUUGCGUUAAUGGAGCGGCUGAUAUCUGAUUAGCUAGUAGGUGAGGUAAAGGCUCACCUAGGCUUCGAUCAGUAGCUGGCCUGAGAGGACGACCAGCCACACUGGAACUGAGACACGGUCCAGACUCCUACGGGAGGCAGCAGUGGGGAAUUUUGGACAAUGGGCGCAAGCCUGAUCCAGCCAUUCCGCGUGAGUGAAGAAGGCCUUCGGGUUGUAAAGCUCUUUCGCAAGGGAAGAAACGAUACCGACGAAUAAUCGGUGUUAAUGACGGUACCUUGAUAAGAAGCACCGGCUAACUACGUGCCAGCAGCCGCGGUAAUACGUAGGGUGCGAGCGUUAAUCGGAAUUACUGGGCGUAAGGCGUGCGCAGGCGGUUUUGUAAGUCAGAUGUGAAAUCCCCGGGCUCAACCUGGGAACUGCGUUUGAAACUACAAGGCUAGAGUAUGGUAGAGGGGGGUAGAAUUCCACGUGUAGCAGUGAAAUGCGUAGAGAUGUGGAGGAAUACCAAUGGCGAAGGCAGCCCCCUGGACUAAUACUGACGCUCAUGCACGAAAGCGUGGGGAGCAAACAGGAUUAGAUACCCUGGUAGUCCACGCCCUAAACGAUGUCUACUAGUUGUUGGGAGAGUAAAAUCUCUUAGUAACGCAGCUAACGCGUGAAGUAGACCGCCUGGGGAGUACGGUCGCAAGAUUAAAACUCAAAGGAAUUGACGG
RNAcentral lists this ribosomal RNA (866 nucleotides) under uncultured bacterium. Its description in RNAcentral is "bacterial SSU rRNA". It matches the Rfam family "Bacterial small subunit ribosomal RNA", at positions 58 to 916 of the family's 1533-position model. The record is from RNAcentral.